GGUGAAAGCCAACGUGGGUUCGGAACGGGAUCGCCUGCUAAGUGAUUGUCGGGUUUAACCUCGACCGAGAGUUCGAAUCUCUCCCUCCCCGCCA
This 94-nucleotide transfer RNA is filed under the name Chloroflexi bacterium HGW-Chloroflexi-4. RNAcentral describes it as "tRNA-Ser". The record is from RNAcentral. Lineage: Bacteria; Bacillati; Chloroflexota.